UUUAAUGAGUACAACAAAACAGAGAAUUCAAUUGCCAACAGAUACUUUAGGAUACUAGAACAAAAUUCAAAGCAAGCUUUAUCAAUUAUACAGUAUUUUAACAUUUUAUGUAAGAAUUAAAAAUAGUAUAAUGGGAAGAAAAACAAAUUUUAGUUCUACAUUGAGUAAUAUGAAACAUAUUUGUUUUUCAAAUUCAUCUUAUUCCGAAUUUUUGAAACAUGUUGAAUUAAUUCAUAUUUUCAUUAAAUAUACACGUUCUUGCUCAUAUCUGUGCAUAUAUUAACGCUUAUUCAAUACAUGGCUUAAUAAUGUUCGAUUUCGAAAGUGACAGUAUCUUGUUAGUAAGUUAAUAAACCUAGCACAAAAGUACAAGUGUUCGCGUCACAAGUCACGAGACUAUCUCCAUCCACAUGAUAUUAUCACACGUUAAUACGAAUCGUGAAUAAUUACAUCAAGUUAUCUUGCUUAAAUUUAUUUGCAUUCUAUGCUUGAGUAGCAAGCAUGUGAUAUUUGCGUUAGAGUUACGCAGGCCCUGGUGCAUAUGUAAGUCUGUCGAAUAAGUUGUUCACCGAGAACUCGUGGAAAUGCCAGUGCUUUCUACGAGUCGGUUUUAAAAGAUAUACAACCGACGAAAAUUAAGGAAUAUAUUCCAUUUCUUGUCUACAAUUAGUUUAUUUUUUACUUAUUAUCUAAGUUUUUUUUUUAGGAAAAAGAAGAUUUCAAACCAUUCUAACUUUUCAGAAUGAAUUUAGAAUUCUUAUUUCUCUUGCCAUUGUCCAUAUUUGUAACAUCGUAUGUUUACUAUUUGAUAUUUUGAGAUCUAAUUUAAAGUAAGACAGAAAACCAUGCCCCGAAUGCAAUAUCGGAUCCUGAAAUUACGUGCACUCGAACAUUUUUAUGUGUCAGGCAAACUUUCAGAAUCCCAUCCGACCAGACCACAGCCUCAGGUAUCCGCACAUCCCUACUAUUUUCAUAUUAACGCAUAUCACAAUAAUUUUAUAUUUCGAACAUUCAAAUAAUGAAACGUUCGAAUAGUGGAACGUAUAGCAAAUGGACAGUAGAUGCUCGGAUAUUGAAAGUUCUAUAUUUAUUUUCUUUAGUUUUAUAUUUACAUAUCUAAUUAAAUCAUUUCUCACUCUGAUCAUCAUGAAAUUAUUCAACAAACCCCGCGUGUUACUCAAUCCUAAGUCGUUACACAAAGGUUUAUCAAUUGUCACAAGAAUCUCGAUGUGUACAUAGAUUUUUCAACACGCAACUCUCACGUCAUGCCCGUUAGUUUUAUGGCACAAUAUGCGAUUUCUGUGUGUCGUACGUAAUUCAUACGUACUACUGUUGAAUUAUCGAGAAUAAUUCGAUACUGACGUCAGCAGCGCGUUUGCAUUAAAAAUUCCGAGGCUGCGUGAUUCCUGGUUCGAACGAUGUUGUUUAAACAAUUGCUCGCCGUGAACGAUAACGAUAACACGAUCGACGCGACUGAUUAACAACGUGUAAACUAAUUAUUCCUCUGAGAAAUAAGGAAGCAGGUGUUGGCUGCGCUCGAAAAUUAUGUUAUUUUUGAUAUUAUGAUGAAACGAUGACAGUUGCUUCGUACGCGUAGCAUAUCGUGUCAAACAAUGGAAAACACGUUUGUUAUUGAAAAUAUUUCCUCUAUUUAAUCUGUUAUACCAAGCGAAUUUUUAUGCACUACACAUAAUUAUCAGGA
Molecule: long non-coding RNA, 1702 nt
Organism: Bombus impatiens (common eastern bumble bee)
Lineage: Eukaryota; Metazoa; Arthropoda; Insecta; Hymenoptera; Apidae
Exons: 3
Source: RefSeq, a predicted model, not a curated record